This 96-nucleotide transfer RNA is filed under the name Dipodomys ordii (Ord's kangaroo rat). It matches the Rfam family "tRNA". From Rfam's summary of the family: Transfer RNA (tRNA) molecules are approximately 80 nucleotides in length. Lineage: Eukaryota; Metazoa; Chordata; Mammalia; Rodentia; Heteromyidae. The record is from Rfam by way of RNAcentral.
AGAAGUGUGGCUCAAGUGGUAGAGCACCAGUCUUAAGCAAAAACAAAAACUAUAAGCUAGUACUGGAAGUCCUGAGUUCAAACCCCAGCAUUGCUA